GAAAGAACGCAGCGAAAUGCGAUACGUAAUGUGAAUUGCAGAAUUCAGUGAAUCAUCGAGUCUUUGAACGCACAUUGCGCCCCCUGGUAUUCCGGGGGGCAUGCCUGUCCGAGCGUCAUUGCUGCCCUCAAGCACGGCUUGUGUGUUGGGCCUCCGUCCUCCUCCCGGGGGACGGGCCCGAAAGGCAGCGGCGGCACCGCGUCCGGUCCUCGAGCGUAUGGGGCUUCGUCACCCGCUCUUGUAGGCCCGGCCGGCGCUUGCCGACACAUCAAUCUUUUUUCCAGGUUGACCUCGGAUCAGGUAGGGAUACCCGCUGAACUUAAGCAUAUCAAUAAGCGGAGGA
RNAcentral lists this unclassified non-coding RNA (343 nucleotides) under soil metagenome. RNAcentral describes it as "partial contains 5.8S ribosomal RNA, internal transcribed spacer 2, and large subunit ribosomal RNA". The stretch from base 3 to 118 matches the Rfam family "5.8S ribosomal RNA", at positions 39 to 154 of the family's 154-position model. The record is from RNAcentral.